GGGUGAUUAGCUCAAUUGGUAGAGUAUUUCCUUUACACGGAAAAAGCUAGCGGUUCGAAUCCGUUAUCACCUA
RNAcentral lists this transfer RNA (73 nucleotides) under Teleaulax amphioxeia. RNAcentral's name for it is "tRNA-Val". It matches the Rfam family "tRNA". From Rfam's summary of the family: Transfer RNA (tRNA) molecules are approximately 80 nucleotides in length. Their secondary structure includes four short double-helical elements and three loops (D, anti-codon, and T loops). Further hydrogen bonds mediate the characteristic L-shaped molecular structure. tRNAs have two regions of fundamental functional importance: the anti-codon, which is responsible for specific mRNA codon recognition, and the 3' end, to which the tRNAs corresponding amino acid is attached (by aminoacyl-tRNA synthetases). tRNAs cope with the degeneracy of the genetic code in two manners: having more than one tRNA (with a specific anti-codon) for a particular amino acid; and 'wobble' base-pairing, i.e. permitting non-standard base-pairing at the 3rd anti-codon position. Lineage: Eukaryota; Cryptophyceae; Pyrenomonadales; Geminigeraceae. The record is from RNAcentral.